UAGAUUGAAGCCAGAUGUUUAGGGUGUUUAGCUGUUAACUAACGUUUCGUGGGUUAGAUUCCCAUCAGUCUAG
This 73-nucleotide transfer RNA is filed under the name Histiotus magellanicus (southern big-eared brown bat). RNAcentral's name for it is "tRNA-Asn". It matches the Rfam family "tRNA". From Rfam's summary of the family: Transfer RNA (tRNA) molecules are approximately 80 nucleotides in length. Their secondary structure includes four short double-helical elements and three loops (D, anti-codon, and T loops). The record is from RNAcentral. Lineage: Eukaryota; Metazoa; Chordata; Mammalia; Chiroptera; Vespertilionidae. RNAcentral also lists the same sequence under 1 other name.